UCUCUCUCUCUUUCUCUCUCUGUCUCUCUCUCUCUCUCUUUCUUUUUGAGAAACAAAUAAUUUGAGCUCUCUCUCUCUCUCUCUUUCUCUCAUCUAUGCCCUAGAAUGAUAGAUUCGUACAACAUCUUGCUUGGAUACCGGAGCUAGUUUGGCCAGUUAAAUUUCCAUAAUAUUUAAGGAUGGAUAUUUGUUUUCAAAGGGAAACUACUGUGCUCACUAGGCAGUGUAUUUGUAGCUGUGCUUCUUAUUGAGCAUUCACCAUUUUUCCAUCUACUUUGCUCACUAGGGAGUGUAUUUGUAGCUAUGCUUCUUGGUGAGUAUCCACCAUUUUUCCAUAAUUGAUUGUCAAGUUUGGACGGUGUAUAAAGAAUGUAUUUAUGGUGUCUCACUUUGUGACUGAGGUACGGAUUGCGAUUGGUGGUAUCUUUUAAUCAACUUGGACAUAAUGUAUUUCUGAUUACUUUGGAUUGUCAACUGUCAUAAAAUAAAGUCAGACGUCAUAGGAGCAUGGAUUAAAAUUUAAAACGGAUUCCUCUUUUGCUAAAGCUCUGCUCAAGAGAUCAGCAAUUUGAUCCUUACGUGUUACAAUGGGUGUUGAAAUGAGCCCAGGACAAUUUCUUCCUGAACCGGUUUACCAAGAUGUGCUUUAAUCUCUCAUGAAAUGUAGAAUUGGUUGCGAGAUCAAUAGUUAGGUUAGUGUCACUGGUUCCUUGCGCUCAAUUCCUUCGUCUUGGACAAAUAAGUUCAUGCUGCCAAAUCCAUAGCCUAAUGCUCUGAAUUGACCUUACAACUAUGUUCCCUCCCAUAGUGGAUUUCUUUCUUGUGGGCAUCUGCCCUGAUCGACAUUGUUAUAUCUAGAUUGCCUUGAAACUUAGCAUAUGAUGUAUAACAUCGGAUAUGUGUUUUUUCUAGGAUCAUCUAUAAAAUUGUAUCCAAAAGUCAAUGUCAGGUGUGAUGAUGGCCUGGGGCCUUUACAUUGAUUUAUAUAAUUUUGAAGCUCCAAAACUCUAACUUUGGGUGGGAUGUCAACAAGAAUUGCCCAACACUUUAACUCAUUCAAAUGAAGAUAUUUGAUCUAUCUAUCCUAAGGAGGUUUAAGAGUCUAACAAAAGGAAACCAACUACUCAAAAAAAAAAAAAAAAAAAUCAAAAUAGACUCAAUUUUCCUUAUUUAAUGACCAACUGUGGGCCUUAUUAAUUUUUCCUUUUUUUUUUUUUAAAUAAUUUGUUCCACUUUGGCAAACCUAGGUAUCUCACGAAGGGAUGAAUCUUGGAUUUCAACUCUCUUUUCGGGUUGCCCCUUAUUGCAUGCCUCUUCUCCAUGGAAGUCCUCAUCCUGCAAGCGUGGGAGGCAUUUUGAGGGAUCACUUAAGCAAAGUGUUGAUUACCUUCCCAGGGCCUUUUCAUGAGUGUGACUUGAAUGAAGCCCGGCUUGGGUUUUAUUCAGUGGGCUUAGAAACAUCGACUAAAAGUUGGACGAUGUUGUGCUAUAGAGGGCGUCUGCCAAUGUUAUGGCUUGGGGAAGUUGACAGGGACCUGUCCUUGGCGUCUUCAUAAUGGUUUUGAAGAAAUAUGGGCAGUGUUUCAAAAAGCGUUAGGCGGUCCCCAAGUGGCCAUGGGGGUUCAGGCCGCCUAGCGCCUAGGUGGGCGCCCAGAACCUGGGUGGCCCAGUUGAAAAAAAAAAAAUAAAAAAAUAAAAAAAAAAAAUAAAAAAUCUAAGACCAUAAUCGCAGUAGUUUGAUAAUCCAUUAGACCAUAAUUCAUAUUUUUCAUACAAUACUAAAACAGUAAAACCAUACAAGCAUACACUGAUAGUCUGAUACGCUGUAGACUCCACACACAAAAGUUAGAUUGUAGAACUAGAAACUAGAAAGUAGAAACUAAAAAUAAGAAAAAGAAAAUAUGCAAAAAUUCAGAAAAUAUACAGACACAAUAGUCAACACUCAACACAACAGUCAAUAGUCGACACUCAACACAAUAGUUAAUAGUCAACACUCAACACCAAGAGUCUUCAGUCGUCAUCAUCAUCAUCAUCAUCAGAAGGAAUAGGGUCAGCUUCAUCAUAUGCAUCAAAAUCGAGGCCAUCAUCAUCAGAGUCACCUCCCUCUUCAAUAUAAGACUCGUUCUCAUCUGUUUCUUCUGAAUCUGCCUCUUCCUCCUCUUCUUUUACCUCCCUCUUACUAGUAUGUGUAGAUGAGGCCCUAGGAGUCUUGGCUACUCUACCCUUUUCUAUCUUUUUGUGCUUCCCUGAACUCAAAUAUUAUAUAAUUUCCUCCCUGGUAGCCUCAAGAACAUUUUUACAUGGGGCAACAUCCCCCUUAAUACCGGCAAGGUGUUUUUUAAACCGGUAAAUGCCCCCAUUAGUAUCUUUUUCACAAUAAUUAUAUUUAAUACGAUUUUUGUCAUUCGGAUUCGGGUUAUAACUAUACUUCCAACCUGGAUCAUCACUUCUAGAAGAACCUAGAGAAGAUAUUUCUGUAGAACAAGGCUCAUUUUCAUCAUUUUCUGGUUCUUUUAAAUUCAGAAGUUGUCUAAUCUCAUCCUGAAUAGCUUCAGGAACCUUUUUACAAGAAGCAACAUUCCCUUUAAUGCCAGCAAGGUGUUUCUUGAAUUGGUUAAUACCCCCAUCGGUAUCUUUUUCACAAAAAUUACACUUUAUAUAAUUUUUAUCAUUUGGUUUUGGGUUAUAACCAUACUUCCAACCCGGAUCACUUCUUCAAGAAGUAGCAGAAAUAGAUCUAUUCAAAUGACAAGGAUUUUGUUCCCGUUUUUGUUUUACAAAACUCAUAUAUUGCUUAAUCUCUUCUUUGAUAACUUCAGGAGCAUUUUUACAAGGGGCAAAAUCCCCUUUACUACCGGCAAUAUGCUUCUUAAACCGGUUUAUUCCCCCUUUCGUAUCUUUUUCACCAAAAUUUCAUCUAAUACAAUUUUGUCAUUUGCAUUCGGGUUAUAUCCAUAUUUCCAACCCGGAUCUCCACUUUGAUUAGAUCCUGAAGAAGACAUCUCAAAAUAAAACAAGCAAUCUAAAAAAUAAAUUUUUGCACUUAUUUUGAUUGCUCGAACUCUAAACUACCACCUCUGAGAUGUUUUUUGUUGCUAAAAUAAUAAAAAACACCCUCUAAUAGGAUUAUAAAUCUCCAAAACUAAAUCAAAUCUACUUGGGUGAUGUUUGGGUUCGUUUUUUGUAACUUUGAGAAGCACUUCGAUCCAAUGAAAGUCACAAAAUUUAGUUUUCUUGAGGUUUCUUUCUCUCUAAAAUGGGUUCUUGUGGGUUUAGGUUUGAAAUGAACCUAAAACCCAUCCUUCAAACCCUUUAUAUUUCAAAAAAAAUCAAUACAACUUAAAAAAAACAAAAAAAUUUUCUCCCUUGGACGCCCGCCUAGGUGGGUACUGUACCGCCUAGUCUGCCGCCCAGGGUCAGCCGUCUAGGCCUGGGUGAUGCGCCCAAGCCUUCCGGACCGUCUAGGCGCUAGGCAGUCCCACUUUUUGAAUCAUUGAAUAUGGGCAUGGGCUAGGAGGAAUUGCCCAACACUUCAACUCAUUAAAAUGAAGAUAUUUGAUCUAUCUAUCCUUAGGAGGUUUAAGAGUUUAACAAAAGGAAACCAACUACUCAAAAGAAUAAAAAAAAUAAAAAUCAAAAUUGACUCAAUUUCCUUAUUUAAUGACCAAUUGUGGGCCUUAUUAAUUUUUAAUUUUUCAUUUUUUUUAAAAAAUAAUUUGUCCCUCCUUGGCAUCCCUAGGUAUCUCACAAAGGGACUAAUCUUGGAUUUUAACCCUCUUUUCGGGUUUCCCCUUAUUGCAUGCCUCUUCUCCAUGGAAGUCCUUGACCUGCAAGCGCAGGAGGCAUUUUGAGGAAUCACUUAGGCAAAGUGUUGAUUACUUUCUCGGGGCCUUUUCAUGAGUGUGACUUGAAUGAAGCCAAGGCUUGGGCUUUAUUCAGUGGGCUUAGAAACAUUGACCAGAAGUUGUACAAUGUUGUUGUUAUAGAGGGAGUCUGCCAGUGUUAUGGCUUGGGGAAGUGGACCAAGGACCUGUCCUUGGUGUCUUCAUAAUGGUUUUGAAGAAAUAUGGGCAUGGGCUAGGAGGUUGGAAACCACGUUUCAUCACAUAUUGCCUGAGUCCAAUGAAGAAGCUGAUUCUCUUGCGAAAGAUGGGAGUCUCCCAAAUUGAGUUGACAAUGGCAUUCUUCUAAUAGAAGGUCCAUGUCUAGAGUCUUCUGUUCAUAGAUUCAAUUUUGUAUGGAAAAAGAGAUGAACUAGAACCAUAUUUUUUUAUUUUUAAGAAUUUUUUUUUUUUUAAGGAACCAAGUUGUGGUGGCCGUUGUGUUGCUCUUGAAUACAUUGUUCAAGAAAACGGAAAAGGUUACAAAAAAGAUUGAAGGGAGGGGUGGGGGGAUUGGGAGGUUGGGGGUUUGGUGUUUUAUGAAUUUAUGAUUUUGCAUUAUAUAUGAUAAAUUUAGUGUUUAGUUGAGGGGACAAUUGUAGUUGUGGGGCAUUUGGCAAAAGUACUGGUAAGUUUUCUAGGGGGUUUUCUUGAUAAUGGUAAGUUAAAGGGAUAUUUCUGUAAAUUUCUCAAAAUUUUAAUAUAUAAGUUUUAUUUAUUAAUUAAAUUAUUGUAUGGAAUGCACUUCCAACCUAUGGAGCUUCUACCAUGUGACAAUCCCUCCCUCCCUCCCAUUGCCACUCCCACUUCCAACAACCAUGAAGAACACUCUAUUAAAAGUUUAUAGUCACCUCGUCAAAUACAUAGUAUCAUGUUCUAGAUGAAUAUGAAUGUCCCUAUGGAUGUGUUCCAACUGCACUACAUCCAAGACAACUUUCAUACUUAUCUUCUCAAAUGAACCACUGCAUUCUAAAUUUCUCAAUAAUAACUAUAUAAUAACCAUUUUCAAGGCUUAGGCAAGUCAAAAAAAAUCCCAUGUACUACUUCCAAUUGAAUGUACUACGUUGCUGAGUUAUAUACUCUGUAUCCCAGGUCAUGUCUACUUUAUGCUCUCUUCGUUCGUAUGAUUACGGAAUUUCAUCAUUGAUACUUGAUCCUUGUACAUACAUCAACCACUAUAAUAUAAAUUGCAUGUGUUCGAGGAAAAAAAUGCAAUGAAACCGUGAUUUUUACUACCAUUUUUCUCAUGAAUCCAUAGUGUUCUCUAUUUUACCUAUCUCAUCCAACUGAGACCAGUCUAACCAUAUGGCAUGUGUCUCUUCUGAUUUUAGAUAAUAAUUACUUCCAUUUUUACAUUAUUACAACCUUCUAGCGGCUACAAGAACUUUUUAAUUUAAAAAAGGAUUAAUAUUUUUCUCCUCUGUGGGUUUUACUGACAUGGCUGAAUAAGUCCCAUGUGCAAACUACCAGCUAUGUCUCACAGCUACCACAUCUAGAGCACCAUAUGUCGAUAUCUAUUUUGUGAGGAACUGAACUGCAUCUUAUGCUAUGUCACUUACCAAGAAAGUAUAAUCUUCGGUUAAUCAUGCAAUUGUGUGUACUUUCCAGGGAUUGGUACCCAUUUCUUCCUAUUUCCUAAUAAUUUGAUUCGUAAAUUGAAUUGUACUAAAGUGCCUACAGAUUUGUCUUUUUUCCUUUUUAACUCUCUUUAAGGCAAGUUUUGGCUCACCAGGAUUUCCAUUCCAACAUUCAUGACAGGCCUUGUAAAAUGACGGAAAUCUUGUAAUUUCACUUGCAUAUGCAAUGAUAUUUCUGAUAAUCCAAGAAAUUUUCGUGUUUCUAAAAUACCCAAAAGAUAUAACCAACAUAUUUUGUUGAUUAAAAGUUGAAACCAUGUAUUUGAACUAAGAAUAGCUUUUCAUCCAACAAUUUAAUCUGGAAAUCCUAAUUUGAGUGUAUCAUCUGGACUCAUGUGCAUGCGUGCAUGAUUCUUUUUGCCAUUUGUAUUCCUUGUGAAAUGUGUAUUUCUCUAGAAAAUUGCUUUUGUUCUAUAGAAAUAAAUUUGUUUUUUCUUUUACUUAUCGUCUGUAAGCUGUGUUUUGCUUGGUUUUGGGUUUGCAUGGAUACUGGGGCUAGUUUGGCCAGUUAAUUUUCCAUAAUAUUUAAGGAUGGAUAUUUGUUUUCAAAGGGAAACUACUGUGCUCACUAGGCAGUGUAUUUGUUGCUAUGCUGCCUAGCGAGCAUCCGCCAUUUAUCGAUCUACUGUGCUCACUAGGGAGUGUAUUUGUAGCUAUGCUUCUUGGUGCACAUCCACCAUUUUCCCAUAAUUGAUUGUCAAGUUUGGACAGUGAUAGAGAAGUAUUUAUGGUGUCUCACUCUGUGACUGAGGUACGGAUUGCGAUUGGUGGUAUGUUUUAAUCAACUUGGACAAUAAAAGUAUUUCUGAUUACUUAGGAUUGUCAACUUUCAUAAAAUAAAGUCAGGCGUCAUAGGAGCAUGGAUUAAAAUUUAAAACUGAUUCCUCUUUCGCUAAACCUCUGCUCAAGAGAUCAGCAAUUUGACCAUUUACUUGUUACAAUGGGUGUUGAAAUGAGCCCCAAGGCAAUUUCUUCGUGAACCAGUUCACCAGGAUGUGCUGUGAUCUCUCAUGAAAUGUAGAAUUGGUUGCAAUAUCAAUAGUCAGGUGAUUCUCACCAUGUAAUGUCAUUGGUUCCUUGCGUUCAAUUCCUUUGUCUUGGAUGGCAUUUUAGCCAGAUAAGUUCUUGCUGUCAAAUCCAUUGCCUAAUUCUUUGAAUUGACCUUACAACUAUGUUCUCUCCCAUGGUGGAUUUCUUUCUUGUGGGCAUCUGUCCUGAUCGACAUUGUUAUAACUGAGCAUAUGAUGCAUAUCAUCGAGAUGUGUUUUUUCUAGGAUCAUUUAUAAAACUGUAUCCAAAAGUCAAUGUCAGGAGGUGUGAUGAUGUAGAUUAGUUUGCCUAUCAAACAUCGAUUUUGACCUCGGUUGUCAACUUGUUUUUCUCUUUUCUUAGAAAAUACUUGACUUUUUGCUAUGUUAAACAUCAAAAAAGAAUUCUUAGAAAAUACUUGAUUUUUUGCUAUGUUAAACAUCAAAAAAGAAUAUUUGACUUUUGUUGCAUAAGGAAAUCCGUAUGUGUUUACAAAGUAUAUUAGUUUCUCUAAUAACGUCAAGGGCAUAAGUUUGGUACUUUUCUUGGGUGCACCACCUCUGAAAAUACUUGCAUAUCACAGUAUCUUUGACUUCUAUGUUUCACUUGAAGGUUAUUACUUGACUGAGCAUUCAGGAAGUGAUAGGUGAAUGGGACUCAUUUUGAAGUUCAAAUAAACUCAUACGAGUUCCAUUGAAAGUCAUGUUAGACUUUUAUUGGAAGUUGAGUUUUCAUGGUUCGGUGUAAAUUUAGUGGCUCCUACACAAGUCUAAACAUUAUCUGGUGGGCUUGAGUAGUCUGGGUUUGAUGUGGCAAUUAAGUUCGGGUUGGUGGCAAGCGAAUUGAAAUUUAGAAGGGAGGAAGAAGUAAAAGGAUGCCUAAGUGUAGAGGGAAGAAGCUAGGGAAAUAGAGUUUGGAUGGAAUUGGCGCACAAAGAAGACUUUUUGGGAAGAAAGGCUCGAUGGAUUUUUUUUUAAACUGUUUACUUUUAAGGCCCGAUGGAUUUUAUCAGUACAGAGAGAAGCAGAUGAUUAGGAAGCUUUGGUGAGAGAUUUUUUGAUGAAGAAUGAAGUAGGGUUGGGUGUUUAGGGAAUAAGGCUUUGGAUGGGAUGAUUAUGAACUUACUCAAGGCAAUAUAUGAUGAAACAAAUACUCUGAAAUUCUCAGACCAGGAAAAUGACCCAAAAUUAUACAAUCUGAUUAUUUGUUAGAUUUAAACAAGUGGCAAACAAGGUCUUUCGGCUUGCAAAGCUCAUUGAUUCGUACCAAAUUUUAGUUUAGGGUUUGAUAAAUUGUUUAAUAUUGGUUGUAGUUUUGGUUUUGUGUGAAUUUUGGGCAACUCUCAUUCAAUUUUAAGUUUCAGACUGAUUUAUGUAUGAUUUUGAAGUAGUACAACACACAAAACACCUUAAAAAAAGUUGUCACGAGAUGAUUUUUCAGAUUUAUUUUUUGGCGGAGGGUGGGGGCUGUGGGGGUGGGGUGGGUUGUUGGUAUCCAUCCCAAUACCCCCACCAACAUCCUUGAGGCCCCCAACCCCUGUCCUCUAUGUUUGGGCUACCUAGGUAACUAGUACUAGUCCAGAUGCCAAAUCUGCUUUUUCAACAGUACCAUGAAGGUUUAGGAUGGAUUACAGUCAGCUUCAUCACUCAAAAAAAAAAAAACAAUAAGAAAAGAAAAAAGGGAAAGUAGGGUUUAAAGUGGAGUAGUUGGUUGGCGAGGAAAAAAACCUUGUAGGAAAUUUAUAGGCCAGUUGUAACAGAGGAAGGUUGCAGGGGUGGUGAUUUAGAGUUUAGUUCACGUCAGGUGGCUAAGAGAGCUAAAUAUGUUAAAAGUGUCAUGGGAGGGAGGGAGCACUUAACAAGGUAAGGAAUCGUGGCGUUCAACAACAUGAAAUAGAGGAAUCAAUGCCUCGUAUUGGAAACAACACCAAUAAUGGACAAACUCUCCAUUGGAAACAACGCCAAUAAUAGACAGCAUCUCCAAUUGUAUAAUUUUUAUUUCAUUCUCUGCACAUUUGACCUAGGGCCUUACAUUGAUUUAUAUAAUUUUGAAGCUCCAAACCUCUAACUUGGGUGGGAUGUGAACAAGAAAUGCCCAGCACUUCAACUCAUUAAAAUGAAGAUAUUUGAUCUAUCUAUCCUAAGGAGGUUUAAGAGUCUAACAAAAGGAAAC
This 8719-nucleotide long non-coding RNA is filed under the name Amborella trichopoda. Its description in RNAcentral is "long non-coding RNA (ATRI_LNC000243)". The record is from RNAcentral. Lineage: Eukaryota; Viridiplantae; Streptophyta; Magnoliopsida; Amborellales; Amborellaceae.